RNAcentral lists this ribosomal RNA (429 nucleotides) under Acidobacteriota bacterium. Its description in RNAcentral is "Acidobacteria bacterium partial 16S ribosomal RNA". It matches the Rfam family "Bacterial small subunit ribosomal RNA", at positions 355 to 776 of the family's 1533-position model. The record is from RNAcentral. Lineage: Bacteria; Pseudomonadati; Acidobacteriota.
UGGGGAAUUUUGGACAAUGGGGGAAACCCUGAUCCAGCCAUCCCGCGUGUGCGAUGAAGGCCUUCGGGUUGUAAAGCACUUUUGGCAGGACAGAAACGUCAUGGGUUAAUACCCCGUGAAACUGACGGUACCUGCAGAAUAAGCACCGGCUAACUACGUGCCAGCAGCCGCGGUAAUACGUAGGGUGCAAGCGUUAAUCGUAAUUACUGGGCGUAAAGCGUGCGCAGUCGGUUCGGAAAGAAAGAUGUUAAAUCCCAGAGCUCAACUUUGGAACUGCAUUUUUAACUACCGGGAUAGAGUGUGUCAGAGGGAGGUGGAAUUCCGCGUGUAGCAGUGAAAUGCGUAGAUAUGAGGAGGAACACCGAUGGCGAAGGCAGCCUCCUGGGAUAACACUGAAGCUCAUGCACGAAAGCGUGGGGAGCAAACAGG